UUCAAUAGUCAAUACCCCCAACAAAGUCUCUCUCUCAUUUUCAAUCUUUUCUUGCUUUUCAAUUUGGGGAGGAGAAAGCCUUCCAUGGAUAAGCAACUUCUUGAAGUUCAUCCCAAGGAACUAAAGUUUAUUUGAAAUUUAAAUGCAAAUGCUGCUGUGUGCUGCAACAAUAAUCCAAGUUUAGGGAGCUGUAAGCCUGGAGUAGAUGACAGUCCACAAGCUAAUGGAAAGUGUUGGAGGUUAUGCACUUCUGGAUGUACAAAGGGAGGAUUUUGCAAGCGAGUUGGGAGAAAUGGCCGCCAUGUCUGCCAUUGUUACUGUUGAUUAACUUCACCAAUAUACAAUUACCCCUCUUAUAUAAUAUGCAAAUUUCCAUGCAUUUCUCUUUCAACAAUGUUGUGUUGAUCAGUUCUAAAAAAUAUGUAUCUAAUAUGAAAGAAACGUAACAUUAUUUGUGUCAAUAUAUACUAAUAUCAGCAACAACUUUGAAUGAAAUAAUACAAGAAGCUGCACACAGUAUACAAGAAUAAUUUAUUCUUA
Long non-coding RNA from Cucumis sativus (cucumber), 540 nucleotides. RefSeq lists it as uncharacterized. Lineage: Eukaryota; Viridiplantae; Streptophyta; Magnoliopsida; Cucurbitales; Cucurbitaceae. The transcript is spliced from 2 exons. The record is from RefSeq and is a predicted model, not a curated record.